Equus asinus (donkey) is the source of this 2319-nucleotide long non-coding RNA. The record is from Ensembl. Lineage: Eukaryota; Metazoa; Chordata; Mammalia; Perissodactyla; Equidae.
UUAACGCCUAGUACGCAGCAGGCACUCAGCAAACAAUGGGUGUUGUUAUUGAUUAUUGCCAUUGUCUCCUCCUUCUUAUCCAAGGUGUCUGGGCUCCGUGAGAAGUUCUAAGCCCUUCCCCAGGAUGGAGGCUUCACCUCUCCGUGGAGAUUCCCAGUCACCCCUCUUUGCCAGAUCACUGAUCUUCAAAUUGCACUCCUCAGACCCCUGCAGGUUCAGCCAAGAUUACGUUGGAUUGAUGAAGAGGAUUUGGGAAGCAGGCAGAUUACAUCAGAAAUGGCUCAAGAUUCUUCAUGCCGAUAAGACUCCAGGAAACUCACAUCCAGACCCGCUGCAGGAAAUGGAGGUGGACAUUACAGAUGCUUUGGAGGACUGCCCUUUCCUGGGAAAUUACUGGUGGCGCGCAAUUCUAGCCCAAGCACAAACAGAGGAGAGAUCUGUACCGUUGUGCCCCAAGAUCUAUACUGUUGGUGAUCAACCAGGUGCCAAACAAUCCUUCUGCAGGAAGGUUCCUAAGCAGUUAAAAUAUAAAACUGAACUUGCUGAACAGAUAAGCUUUACCCUGGAAAUUCAGAUUAUUGGCGACACACAGUAUAUGUACCGCUGGGUCAGUGAGAGUCGGAAGGGUGCUCUCCAAGUUUAACUCAGUGGUUAGUGGCUUGAGCUUGCCAGAGAGGCUGCCUGGGGUUGCAUCCAAAAUCUACUGCUUGAAUUCCCAGGUAACCUUGGGCAAGUUCCUGAACCUCUCAAGCCAGACUCUCUUCUUCUGUAACAACAACAACAACAACAACAACAACAACAAUAAUAAAAGAAUGAUAAUAGUAGUACCUACAUGGGAGCUGCUGUGAGUAUUUAAACGAGACUAUCAAUGGAAAGUUCUUGAGAGAGCUGAGCAUUAGUCAAUGCUCUUAAAUGCCCCGCUUGCUGUUGGCUGCAGUGUAUAGCAUACCAACUAAGAACACGGAUUUGGGUGCAAAUAGUUCUGGGUUGGAGUUCCAGCGUCACCGCUGAGUAGACUUGUGACCAUGAGCACAUUACUUCAACUCUUCGAGCUUUAGUUUUCUUAUAUAUAAAAUAGCGAUAAGCAUAGUACUUACCUCAAGGGGCUAUUGUGAACAUUUAGUGAGAAAAUAGACUCAAAGUGCUUAGGAGAGUUUCCGGCACCUAGCUAUUAUUAUUUUUAUCAUCAUUAUUAUUCAUUGGUUCCCUAAUAUCAAAAAAUAUUCUGAAGACAGGCUGAAACACAGUAAACCUGAUAUAAAAUGCAUACUUGGCAUGCCGAAGAUAAAGAAUUUUCAGACAAAUGAUUUGAUCAAACGGUGGUAAAGUGGGUUUGGGUUGUCCCGCAAUUCCUCCCGUAAACUGGAGAGACGGGGCACAGGCUCAGGGAAGAUGGCGGAGGCUGAUCCCAGUGGGCCUUUCCCACUGGCCUGGGAUCUCCUUUUGCCUGAAGUCUGCCAUGUUGAGCCCAGAAGGCAGCAUGUGUUCUGGCGCCUUCGAUUUUCCCCUUCGAAAUCACUGGGAUUCUUGCUUCUUGUUUUCCCACCUCCUUUCUGCCAAAUUCUGUGAUUCUUGUUUGCUGUCGGGCUUCUCAACAUUUGGAACAUGUGGCUACAAUACCACUUCGUGUUCCAAGUAAAAUGUAAACAUCUGUCUCCUCCUCUUUAUCAGCAAGAAGAUAGGAACAGUGGCCUCUGGAGAGGAGAGCACUCUUUAAUAUCUGGCCCAAUCUCUAUUCUCAGUUGGCAGCUCUGGACUUGUUUCCUACCAUUAACAGAUUGGUUUGCUUAUCUGAUAUUCCCCAGAUUAAAUUACCGCUUCCACAGUGAUGGGGCUUGACAAACCUGCUUUUCCUAUUACUCGCUACCCACAUCCUUUCACUUCUGCUAACUCCUUCACAAUGAACAGAAGGGAGCCUAUCUUCUGAGAUCAGGAAUUACAAGAACAUGUGUUAUAGAUAUCAGUGGUGUAUCGUUUAGCAUACAUUGUGCUAAGGCCAAGGUGUUGCUUCCGCUCAGUUUCUUAAGAACUGAGGGUCUCUUCACCCAAAUAAACCAGAUUAGAAGGUUUGGUUUUUGUUCUGCUUUCCCAUGUGCCCAUAUGGAUGGGCCCCUGGGGAAUAAAUAACGCAUGUAACUCAAGCCCUGUAUUCAUAGGUCCUUUCCUAUGAACCUAUGGGAUCCGCGGCAUCAGUUUCUCCAACCUUUUCAUUUUACUGACGAGGAAGUCAAGAAGUAUGGUGAUAGUUGGAUUCUAGCCCAGCCAAGACAGGAGCCCAGGUCUCCUGACUCUCAGGCCACCAUUCCUUCUUCCUUGUAG